UGGGUAGUAGCUCAGUGGUAAAGCUCUCGCUUCGUAUGCGGGAAGAUCUGGGUUGGAUUCCCGGUUGCUUCC
Molecule: transfer RNA, 72 nt
Filed under: Toxocara canis (dog roundworm)
Lineage: Eukaryota; Metazoa; Nematoda; Chromadorea; Rhabditida; Toxocaridae
Rfam family: tRNA
About the family: Transfer RNA (tRNA) molecules are approximately 80 nucleotides in length. Their secondary structure includes four short double-helical elements and three loops (D, anti-codon, and T loops).
Source: Rfam by way of RNAcentral